GUAAGGAAAGGAACAUAGCUUAGGGGCUGCUGGAGAGAAUCAUAGAAUAGGGUGUCCUGUAAACAGUAGCUAGGACUGAGGAAGAGCCACCUGCAGGAACAUCUGGGAACUGCAUUCCUGGUAGAGCUCAGCUUGGGGAAGUGGGGAAGAGCUUGGUGUGCUCAGGAAACAAGGCCAUUCAGGCAUGUGUGAGAUGGCAUCUUCCCUCCGGUUCCUCAGCCCCACCCAAGUUUCAGUGGCAAAUUCAGCAUUGAGAAACAGCCUGGUAAAACAGGUAAG
This is a long non-coding RNA of Chinchilla lanigera (long-tailed chinchilla), 279 nucleotides long. RefSeq lists it as uncharacterized. The record is from RefSeq and is a predicted model, not a curated record. Lineage: Eukaryota; Metazoa; Chordata; Mammalia; Rodentia; Chinchillidae. The transcript has 3 exons.